AACAAUGACUCAGACCACCCUGAACGCGCCCCAUCUCAUCUGAUCUCGGAAGCUAAGCAGGGUCGGGCCUGGUUAGUACUUGGAUGGGAGACCGCCUGGGACUACCGAGUGCUGUAGGCU
Molecule: ribosomal RNA, 120 nt
Filed under: Moschus moschiferus (Siberian musk deer)
Lineage: Eukaryota; Metazoa; Chordata; Mammalia; Artiodactyla; Moschidae
Source: RNAcentral